UGGGGAAUUUUGGACAAUGGGCGAAAGCCUGAUCCAGCCAUGCCGCGUGAGUGAAGAAGGCCUUCGGGUUGUAAAGCUCUUUUAGUCGGAAAGAAAGAGUCGCAAUGAAUAAUUGUGAUUUAUGACGGUACCGACAGAAAAAGCACCGGCUAACUACGUGCCAGCAGCCGCGGUAAUACGUAGGGUGCGAGCGUUAAUCGGAAUUACUGGGCGUAAAGGGUGCGCAGGCGGUUUUGCAAGUCAGAUGUGAAAGCCCCGGGCUUAACCUGGGAAUUGCGUUUGAAACUACAAGGCUAGAGUGCAGCAGAGGGGAGUGGAAUUCCAUGUGUAGCAGUGAAAUGCGUAGAGAUGUGGAAGAACACCGAUGGCGAAGGCAGCUCCCUGGGUUGACACUGACGCUCAUGCACGAAAGCGUGGGGAGCAAACA
This 427-nucleotide ribosomal RNA is filed under the name uncultured beta proteobacterium. RNAcentral describes it as "bacterial SSU rRNA". It matches the Rfam family "Bacterial small subunit ribosomal RNA", at positions 355 to 774 of the family's 1533-position model. Lineage: Bacteria; Pseudomonadati; Pseudomonadota; Betaproteobacteria. The record is from RNAcentral.